AUUGAACGCUGGCGGCAGGCCUAACACAUGCAAGUCGAACGGUAACAGGAAGAAGCUUGCUUCUUUGCUGACGAGUGGCGGACGGGUGAGUAAUGUCUGGGAAACUGCCUGAUGGAGGGGGAUAACUACUGGAAACGGUAGCUAAUACCGCAUAACGUCGCAAGACCAAAGAGGGGGACCUUCGGGCCUCUUGCCAUCGGAUGUGCCCAGAUGGGAUUAGCCUGUUGGUGGGGUAACGGCUCACCAAGGCGACGAUCCCUAGCUGGUCUGAGAGGAUGACCAGCCACACUGGAACUGAGACACGGUCCAGACUCCUACGGGAGGCAGCAGUGGGGAAUAUUGCACAAUGGGCGCAAGCCUGAUGCAGCCAUGCCGCGUGUAUGAAGAAGGCCUUCGGGUUGUAAAGUACUUUCAGCGGGGAGGAAGGGAGUAAAGUUAAUACCUUGGCUCAUUGACGUUACCCGCAGAAGAAGCACCGGCUAACUCCGUG
RNAcentral lists this ribosomal RNA (490 nucleotides) under uncultured bacterium. RNAcentral describes it as "partial 16S ribosomal RNA". It matches the Rfam family "Bacterial small subunit ribosomal RNA", at positions 30 to 507 of the family's 1533-position model. The record is from RNAcentral.